GAUCAUGGCUCAGAAUCAACGCUGGCGGCGCGCCUCAGACAUGCAAGUCGAACGAUUAAAGCUCUCUUCGGAGAGUGUAUAGAGUGGCGCACGGGUGAGUAACACGUAAGUAAUCUACCCUCGAGUGGGGAAUAACAACCGGAAACGGUUGCUAAUACCGCAUAAUGCAGCGGCACCGCAAGGUGACAGUUGUUAAAGAUUUAUCGCUUGAGGAGGAGCUUGCGGCAGAUUAGCUAGUUGGUAGGGUAACGGCUUACCAAGGCUACGAUCUGUAACCGGUCUAAGAGGACGGUCGGUCACACUGACACUGAAUAACGGGUCAGACUCCUACGGGAGGCAGCAGUCGGGAAUUUUGGGCAAUGGGCGAAAGCCUGACCCAGCAACGCCGCGUGAAGGAUGAAGUAUUUCGGUAUGUAAACUUCGAAAGAAUAGGAAGAAUUAAUGACGGUACUAUUUAUAAGGUCCGGCUAACUACGUG
RNAcentral lists this ribosomal RNA (478 nucleotides) under uncultured bacterium. RNAcentral's name for it is "bacterial SSU rRNA". It matches the Rfam family "Bacterial small subunit ribosomal RNA", at positions 15 to 507 of the family's 1533-position model. The record is from RNAcentral.